UACCUACGGGCGGCUGCAGUGGGGAAUAUUGCACAAUGGGCGCAAGCCUGAUGCAGCCAUGCCGCGUGUAUGAAGAAGGCCUUCGGGUUGUAAAGUACUUUCAGCGGGGAGGAAGGGAGUAAAGUUAAUACCUUUGCUCAUUGACGUUACCCGCAGAAGAAGCACCGGCUAACUCCGUGCCAGCAGCCGCGGUAAUACGGAGGGUGCAAGCGUUAAUCGGAAUUACUGGGCGUAAAGCGCACGCAGGCGGUUUGUUAAGUCAGAUGUGAAAUCCCCGGGCUCAACCUGGGAACUGCAUCUGAUACUGGCAAGCUUGAGUCUCGUAGAGGGGGGUAGAAUUCCAGGUGUAGCGGUGAAAUGCGUAGAGAUCUGGAGGAAUACCGGUGGCGAAGGCGGCCCCCUGGACGAAGACUGACGCUCAGGUGCGAAAGCGUGGGGAGCAAACAGGAUUGGAUACCCCUGUAGUCUCU
This 470-nucleotide ribosomal RNA is filed under the name uncultured Enterobacteriaceae bacterium. RNAcentral's name for it is "bacterial SSU rRNA". It matches the Rfam family "Bacterial small subunit ribosomal RNA", at positions 335 to 798 of the family's 1533-position model. The record is from RNAcentral. Lineage: Bacteria; Pseudomonadati; Pseudomonadota; Gammaproteobacteria; Enterobacterales; Enterobacteriaceae.